CUACGGGAUGCUGCAGUGGGGAAUAUUGGACAAUGGGGGAAACCCUGAUCCAGCAAUGCCGCGUGUGUGAAGAAGGCCUGCGGGUUGUAAAGCACUUUCGGUUGGGAGGACUGCUUCUAGCACUAAUAUUGUUGGAAGUUGACGUUACCUUCAGAAGAAGCACCGGCUAACUCCGUGCCAGCAGCCGCGGUAAUACGGAGGUGCAAGCGGUUAAUCGGAAUUACUGGGCGUAAAGCGCGCGUAGGCGGCUAGAUCAGUCGGGUGUGAAAGCCCCGGGCUUAACCUGGGAACUGCAUCCGAUACUGUCUAGCUUGAGUACAGGAGAGGAGAGUGGAAUUCCACAUGUAGCGGUGAAAUGCGUAGAUAUGUGGAGGAACACCAAUGGCGAAGGCAGCUCUCUGGCCUGAUACUGACGCUGAGGUGCGAAAGCGUGGGGAGCAAACAGGAUUAGAUACCCGUGUAGUC
Molecule: ribosomal RNA, 465 nt
Filed under: uncultured bacterium
Lineage: Bacteria
Description: partial 16S ribosomal RNA
Rfam family: Bacterial small subunit ribosomal RNA
Source: RNAcentral